Molecule: ribosomal RNA, 468 nt
Filed under: uncultured bacterium
Lineage: Bacteria
Description: partial 16S ribosomal RNA
Rfam family: Bacterial small subunit ribosomal RNA
Source: RNAcentral
GACGAACGCUGGCGGCGUGCCUAACACAUGCAAGUCGAACGGAAAGGCCCUGCUUUUGUGGGGUGCUCGAGUGGCGAACGGGUGAGUAACACGUGAGUAACCUGCCCUUGACUUUGGGAUAACUUCAGGAAACUGGGGCUAAUACCGGAUAGGAGCUCCUGCUGCAUGGUGGGGGUUGGAAAGUUUCGGCGGUUGGGGAUGGACUCGCGGCUUAUCAGCUUGUUGGUGGGGUAGUGGCUUACCAAGGCUUUGACGGGUAGCCGGCCUGAGAGGGUGACCGGCCACAUUGGGACUGAGAUACGGCCCAGACUCCUACGGGAGGCAGCAGUGGGGAAUAUUGCACAAUGGACGGAAGCCUGAUGCAGAAACGCCGCGUGCGGGAUGACGGCCUUCGGGUUGUAAACCGCUUUCGCCUGUGACGAAGCGUGAGUGACGGUAAUGGGUAAAGAAGCACCGGCUAACUACGUG